GGGGGCGGAUGGUGACUGGUGUCGCCUGCGGCCUUCAAAGCCGUCACGGGGCGUGAACAGCGUCCCGGGUGGGUUCGAUUCCCACACGCUCCCGCCA
Molecule: transfer RNA, 97 nt
Filed under: Candidatus Palauibacterales bacterium
Lineage: Bacteria; Pseudomonadati; Gemmatimonadota; Gemmatimonadia; Candidatus Palauibacterales
Also listed under: 1 other name
Description: tRNA-Sec
Rfam family: Selenocysteine transfer RNA
Source: RNAcentral